This 40-nucleotide small RNA is filed under the name Arabidopsis thaliana (thale cress). RNAcentral describes it as "ATSL003070". The record is from RNAcentral. Lineage: Eukaryota; Viridiplantae; Streptophyta; Magnoliopsida; Brassicales; Brassicaceae.
UUUCUUCUUCUUCUGCUUUUAAAAACUUGAGUUUCUUCUU